AGCGAACGCUGGCGGCAGGCUUAACACAUGCAAGUCGAGCGGGCACUUUCGGGUGUCAGCGGCGGACGGGUGAGUAACGCGUGGGAACGUGCCCUCUGGUUCGGAAUAACUCAGGGAAACUUGAGCUAAUACCGGAUACGCCCUUUUGGGGAAAGGCUUGCUGCCGGAGGAUCGGCCCGCGUCUGAUUAGCUAGUUGGUGAGGUAACGGCUCACCAAGGCGACGAUCAGUAGCUGGUCUGAGAGGAUGAUCAGCCACACUGGGACUGAGACACGGCACAGACUCCUACGGGAGGCAGCAGUGGGGAAUAUUGGAACAUGGGCGCAAGCCUGAUCCAGCCAUGACGGGUGAGUGAUGAAGGCAUUAGGGUUGUAAAGCUCUUUUAUCCGGGACGAUAAUGACGGUACCGGAGGAAUAAGCCCCGGCUAACUUCGUG
Molecule: ribosomal RNA, 435 nt
Filed under: uncultured bacterium
Lineage: Bacteria
Description: partial 16S ribosomal RNA
Rfam family: Bacterial small subunit ribosomal RNA
Source: RNAcentral